AGUGAACGCUGGCGGUAGGCCUAACACAUGCAAGUCGAACGGCAGCACAGUAAGAGCUUGCUCUUACGGGUGGCGAGUGGCGGACGGGCGAGGAAUACAUCGGAAUCUACUUUUUCGUGGGGGAUAACGUAGGGAAACUUACGCUAAUACCGCAUACGACCUACGGGUGAAAGCAGGGGAUCUUCGGACCCUGCGCGAUUGAAUGAGCCGAUGUCGGAUUAGCUAGUUGGCGGGGUAAAGGUCCACCAAGGCGACGAUCCGUAGCUGGUCUGAGAGGAUGAUCAGCCACACUGGAACUGAGACACGGUCCAGACUCCUACGGGAGGCAGCAGUGGGGAAUAUUGGACAAUGGGCGCAAGCCUGAUCCAGCCAUACCGCGUGGGUGAAGAAGGCCUUCGGGUUGUAAAGCCCUUUUGUUGGGAAAGAAAAGCAGCAGGUUAAUACCCCGCUGUUCUGACGGUACCCAAAGAAUAAGCACCGGCUAACUUCGUG
Molecule: ribosomal RNA, 492 nt
Filed under: uncultured bacterium
Lineage: Bacteria
Description: partial 16S ribosomal RNA
Rfam family: Bacterial small subunit ribosomal RNA
Source: RNAcentral